This is a long non-coding RNA of Choloepus didactylus (southern two-toed sloth), 555 nucleotides long. RefSeq lists it as uncharacterized. The transcript has 3 exons. NCBI's taxonomy places the organism in Eukaryota, Metazoa, Chordata, Mammalia, Pilosa, Megalonychidae. The record is from RefSeq and is a predicted model, not a curated record.
AAAUAGUUGGCAAGCAGCAGCACUGGAUUCAAACGCAGGCCAUCUGGUUCCCAAGACCACAUUUUAAUCCCUUGCCCUGGUGCCCUUAUUGAUGCUGUGCUUUUCUUCAAAGUGCCCAGCCUCCCAAGACUCUCCAAAAAGAUUGCAAUGAAUUCUCCCCAACCCAGAGAAGUCAAAGACGUCGUAUUCCAGCGUACAGUUUCAGAGCCUUCGAAUGUCCCAGACAACGUGUGGGACCAAGGAGAGCCUUAUGUUUGUCACAUUGAAUGCCACACUCCCCAGGAUCCCCGAAAUCUUAGGCUAGUGAAGUGUGAAGAGGAGUUUAAGUCUUUCCCAACUUGUCGUACUCAAAGGGACUAAGCCAGGAACUUAAGUAGUGGAAGUGAAUUAUGUGUUUCAAUUAUACUUUUCAGUUAAAUGACUAUUGGAAGCUGGCCUCUGCCUGCUCCAGCCCCACUGAACUGCAGAAACCAAAGAACUUUCACCAGAUGUUCACCUUACCUGCUUGGUCCUGAGCGAUCUGAACCAGACGGGGGCAGAAAAUUAAAUGUCCAA